RNAcentral lists this ribosomal RNA (533 nucleotides) under uncultured bacterium. RNAcentral's name for it is "bacterial SSU rRNA". It matches the Rfam family "Bacterial small subunit ribosomal RNA", at positions 777 to 1310 of the family's 1533-position model. The record is from RNAcentral.
AAUAGAUACCCGGGUAGUCCACGCCCUAAGCUAUGUCGACUGGUUGUUGGGGGAGUCUAUCCCUCAGUAACGUAGCUAACGCGUGAAGUCGACCGCCUGGGGAGUACGGUCGCAAGAUUAAAACUCAAAGGAAUUGACGGGGACCCGCACAAGCGGUGGAUUAUGUGGAUUAAUUCGAUGCAACGCGAAGAACCUUACCUACCCUUGACAUGCCAGGAACCUCGCAGAGAUGUGAGGGUGCCCGAAAGGGAACCUGGACACAGGUGCUGCAUGGCUGUCGUCAGCUCGUGUCGUGAGAUGUUGGGUUAAGUCCCGCAACGAGCGCAACCCUUGCCAUUAGUUGCUACAUUCAGUUGGGCACUCUAAUGGGACUGCCGGUGACAAACCGGAGGAAGGUGGGGAUGACGUCAAGUCCUCAUGGCCCUUAUGGGUAGGGCUUCACACGUAAUACAAUGGCGCAUACAGAGGGCUGCAAACCCGCGAGGGGGAGCCAAUCCUAAAAAGUGCGUCGUAGUCCGGAUUGUUCUCUGCAA